GACGAACGCUGGCGGCGUGCUUAACACAUGCAAGUCGAACGAUGAAGCCGGAGCUUGCUCCGGUGGAUUAGUGGUGAACGGGUGAGUAACACGUGAGUAACCUGCCCUUGACUCUGGGAUAACUGCGGGAAACUGUAGCUAAUACCGGAUACGACCCUCGGCGGCAUCGCCAGGGGGUGGGAAGAAUUUCGGUCAGGGAUGGACUCGCGGCCUAUCAACUAGUUGGUGAGGUAACGGCUCACCAAGGCGACGACGGGUAGCCGGCCUGAGAGGGUGACCGGCCACACUGGGACUGAGACACGGCCCAGACUCCUACGGGAGGCGGCAGUGGGGAAUAUUGCACAAUGGGCGCAAGCCUGAUGCAGCAACGCCGCGUGAGGGAUGACGGCCUUCGGGUUGUAAACCUCUUUUAGUAGGGAAGAAGCGAAAGUGACGGUACCUGCAGAAAAAGCACCGGCUAACUACGUGCCAGCCGCCGCCGUAA
Molecule: ribosomal RNA, 484 nt
Filed under: uncultured bacterium
Lineage: Bacteria
Description: partial 16S ribosomal RNA
Rfam family: Bacterial small subunit ribosomal RNA
Source: RNAcentral